CGUGUAGGCGGCUUCGUAUGUCCCAUGUGAAAGCCCUCGGCUCAACCGGGGAACUGCAUGGGAAACUGCGGAGCUUGAGUCCGGGAGAGGAGAGUGGAAUUCCCGGUGUAGCGGUGAAAUGCGUAGAUAUUGGGAGGAACACCAGUGGCGAAGGCGGCUCUCUGGACCGGUACUGACGCUGAGACGCGAAAGCUAGGGGAGCAAACG
RNAcentral lists this ribosomal RNA (207 nucleotides) under uncultured bacterium. Its description in RNAcentral is "partial 16S ribosomal RNA". It matches the Rfam family "Bacterial small subunit ribosomal RNA", at positions 568 to 774 of the family's 1533-position model. The record is from RNAcentral.